RNAcentral lists this microRNA precursor (103 nucleotides) under Marmota monax (woodchuck). The record is from RNAcentral. Lineage: Eukaryota; Metazoa; Chordata; Mammalia; Rodentia; Sciuridae.
AGUGGAAUAGCUGGGUCAAAUGAUGGUUCCAUUCCCAGUUUUCCAAGGAAUCUCCACACUGCUUUCCAUAUUGGCUGUACCAAUUUGCAGUCCUACCAGCAAU